AUGCUAUUAACUAAUGUAAUGUUUGCGCUUCGCCACUACAACAGAAUUAGGUUAUAGCGACACAUGUUUGGGACACUUUUGUAUAAGUGUCAUAUUUAUGCCAAAACUUAAAAAAAUCCUACUAAUGCCUAAAUAUAAAGUCCAAUCCAACUAAAAAUAAAAGGGUACUCUACUCAACCCACUCUACUUAGCCCAUUCGGUCCGAUUACAAACAGAAAAGAAAAAGAAAAUUCGAUUAUCAUUUUCCCUUCUCCCCUCACUCAAUCGACUGAAAUCCUAGACGAAAAUUAUUUCCUCUUGUCCUCCUCCGCCACCGUAGCCAACGAGGUAGAGUUGUAGUGCGCAGCGGGAGCUAAUAAUACAAUUAUUUCAUUAUAUUUAUUUAUCAGAAAGUAUAGAAAUACAUAUUACAUUCAAAUUAUGUAAGGUAAUUAAAUAUAUAAUAUAGAUUAUCUAAUAUGAUAUAAUCUCAUUUAUAAUCCAAAUAUAAAUGAUAAAACAGUUUUUUUGUAAUUUUCUUAAUGCCCAUUAAUA
Molecule: long non-coding RNA, 534 nt
Filed under: Ananas comosus (pineapple)
Lineage: Eukaryota; Viridiplantae; Streptophyta; Magnoliopsida; Poales; Bromeliaceae
Description: long non-coding RNA (ACOM_LNC009701)
Source: RNAcentral